AUAAAGUAUUUUCUUUGGAC
RNAcentral lists this small nuclear RNA (20 nucleotides) under Arabidopsis thaliana (thale cress). Its description in RNAcentral is "snRNA_03948". Lineage: Eukaryota; Viridiplantae; Streptophyta; Magnoliopsida; Brassicales; Brassicaceae. The record is from RNAcentral.